AUCUAGCCAAAAUCUUCCCUUGAGAGUAACAACUUUCGGGUUGACAUCCCUACUCGAGGAGGGGUUUUAGUCGGUAGGCGCUUCGGCGAAUCCGACACUACCCCUUUUCAAGGGGUGUCUUUUGAAGAUUUCCCCUCCUCGAGAAUA
Agrilus planipennis (emerald ash borer) is the source of this 147-nucleotide non-coding RNA. NCBI's taxonomy places the organism in Eukaryota, Metazoa, Arthropoda, Insecta, Coleoptera, Buprestidae. The record is from Rfam.